GCAUCGGUGGUUCAGUGGUAGAAUUCUCGCCUGCCACGCGGAUGACCCGAGUUCGAUUCCCGGCCGAUGCA
Non-coding RNA from Strongylocentrotus purpuratus (purple sea urchin), 71 nucleotides. NCBI's taxonomy places the organism in Eukaryota, Metazoa, Echinodermata, Echinoidea, Camarodonta, Strongylocentrotidae. The record is from Rfam.